UUGGAGGGCAAGUCUGGUGCCAGCAGCCGCGGUAAUUCCAGCUCCAAUAGCGUAUAUUAAAGUUGUUGCAGUUAAAAAGCUCGUAGUUGAAUUUCGGGAUCAGUACGCCGGUCGUGCCUUCGGUAUGCACUGGUGUCACUGGUUUCUCCCUUCUGAAGAACCAUCAUGCCAUUCAGUUGGUGUGGCGGGGAAUCAGGACUGUUACUUUGAAAAAAUUAGAGUGUUUAAAGCAGGCUCGCGCUUGAAUACAUUAGCAUGGAAUAGUGAAAUAGGACGUUUGACCCUAUUUUGUUGGUUUCUAGGAUCGACGUAAUGAUUAAUAGGGAUAGUUGGGGGCAUUAGUAUUCAAUUGUCAGAGGUGAAAUUCUUGGAUUUAUUGAAGACUAACUACUGCGAAAGCAUUUGCCAAGGAUGUUUUCGUUAAUCAAGAACGAAAGUUAGGGGAUCGAAGACGAUCAGAUACCGUCGUAGUCUUAACCAUAAACUAUGCCGACUAGGGAUCGGAUGAUGUUAAUUUUUUAAUGACUCAUUCGGCGCCUUACGGGAAAC
RNAcentral lists this ribosomal RNA (549 nucleotides) under uncultured Glomus. RNAcentral's name for it is "SSU rRNA". It matches the Rfam family "Eukaryotic small subunit ribosomal RNA", at positions 548 to 1098 of the family's 1831-position model. Lineage: Eukaryota; Fungi; Glomeromycota; Glomeromycetes; Glomerales; Glomeraceae. The record is from RNAcentral.